AAUCUAUCUCUGUAUCCAAUAUUUGUGGGUUUUGGGGACAAUUAAAAAAUAAUUUUGUGAAGAAAGGGAAUAACAAUUUUCUUGUGUUAUAAAUAAGGUGAUGCUUGUCCUGUAAUAAUGUUCUGUUGUGUAGAUUAAGCUCAGGUGGGAGCCAGAAAAGCAGAAAUCAAGAAGAUCCCUCCAGUGGUUUAGUCAACAACAUGAUGGAAACAAGUUUGAGUAUGCUGGUGUGGAUGUUGUCCAGCUUAGGUUUCUGCGGUUACACAGCCAUGCAUCUUUCCAGCACAUGACUGUCAGCUGGGAAGUGGAACCCUCCUGUGCUGCCACUGCAACUAAUUCAACAAAUUGGAGUAUCAACAUCCUGGGAGAUUCCGGCAAAGAAAUAGAUUCUCACUUAAUUAGAGGGAGCAGUAAAGACUGUGAGGAGCACGUGGUUGUGAGGGUUCAGGGGAGCACUGAGCUGCAUCGAGGAGAUAUGGAGUUGCUUCCUCUCAGAGAUCUGGGUAUAGCGAUGACGGAACCGACUGCCCACGCCCCUGAGAUAACUGUGAUCAUGGGACCUCUCUGCUUCCUGUGACCAAUUAAUGAUGUGUGUGUUUAUUGGUUUGUGUAAUUAAACAUUGUAAAUAUAAUUUUCAUAUAGAA
Molecule: long non-coding RNA, 645 nt
Organism: Platichthys flesus (European flounder)
Lineage: Eukaryota; Metazoa; Chordata; Actinopteri; Pleuronectiformes; Pleuronectidae
Exons: 3
Source: RefSeq, a predicted model, not a curated record